Molecule: ribosomal RNA, 467 nt
Filed under: uncultured bacterium
Lineage: Bacteria
Description: partial 16S ribosomal RNA
Rfam family: Bacterial small subunit ribosomal RNA
Source: RNAcentral
GACGAACGCUGGCGGCGUGCUUAACACAUGCAAGUCGAACGGUGAAGCUCCAGCUUGCUGGAGUGGAUCAGUGGCGAACGGGUGAGUAACACGUGAGCAACCUGCCCCUGACUCUGGAAUAAGCGCUGGAAACGGCGUCUAAUACUGGAUACGAGAAGGGUCCGCAUGGGCACUUUCUGGAAAGUUUUUCGGUUGGGGAUGGGCUCGCGGCCUAUCAGCUUGUUGGUGAGGUAAUGGCUCACCAAGGCGACGACGGGUAGCCGGCCUGAGAGGCGACCGGCCACACUGGGACUGAGACACGGCCCAGACUCCUACGGGAGGCAGCAGUGGGGAAUAUUGCACAAUGGGCGAAAGCCUGAUGCAGCGACGCCGCGUGAGGGAUGACGGCCUUCGGGUUGUAAACCUCUUUCAGCAGGGAAGAAGCGAAAGUGACGGUACCUGCAGAAGAAGCACCGGCUAACUACGUG